UCCUGCUGUAGCUCAGUGGUAGAGCAUCCGACCGGUAUGCGGAAGGUCAUAGGUUCUCCUGUUGAGGGAA
RNAcentral lists this transfer RNA (70 nucleotides) under Desmophyllum pertusum. Its description in RNAcentral is "tRNA-Thr". The record is from RNAcentral. Lineage: Eukaryota; Metazoa; Cnidaria; Anthozoa; Scleractinia; Caryophylliidae.